Molecule: ribosomal RNA, 118 nt
Filed under: Beta vulgaris subsp. vulgaris (sugar beet)
Lineage: Eukaryota; Viridiplantae; Streptophyta; Magnoliopsida; Caryophyllales; Amaranthaceae
Source: RNAcentral
AGGUGCGAUCAUACCACCACUAAUGCACCAUAUCCCAUCAAAACUCCACAGUUAAGCGUGGUUGGGCGAGAGUAGUUGUAACAGCCCGCUCUUCGGAGCUGCUAGCGGAAUACACUUA